UGAGUACGAGACGCUAAGGCGUCGAGGUAGUGGAUGUCAUACUUCCAAGAAAAGCUUGCACUGUCAUAAGUAAAAAACGCCUGUACCAUAACCGACACAGGUGGGUAGGUAGAGUAUACUAAGGGGCGCGAGAUAACUCUCUCUAAGGAACUCGGCAAAAUGACUCCGUAACUUCGGGAGAAGGAGUGCCUUAUUCGUAAGGCUGCAAUAACAAGAUCCAAGCAACUGUUUAUCAAAAACACAGGUCUCCGCUAAGUCGUAAGACGAUGUAUGGGGGCUGACGCCUGCCCAGUGCCAGAAGGUUAAAGAAGUCGGUUAGCAUUAGCGAAGCUGGUAACUGAAGCCCUGGUGAACGGCGGCCGUAACAAUAACGGUCCUAAGGUAGCGAAAUUCCUUGUCGGGUAAGUUCCGACCCGCACGAAAGGCGUAAUGAUUUGGAUACUGUCUCGGAGAGGGGCUCGGUGAAAUAGACUUGUCUGUGAAGAUGCGGACUACCUGCACCAGGACAGAAAGACCCUAUGAAGCUUUACUGUAACUUGAAAUUGAAAUUGGACUUUAUUCGCGCAGUAUAGGUGGGAGGUGUUGAUUAUAAUCUUGCGGGAUUAUUGGAGCCAUCAGUGAGAUACCACUCUUGUAAUGUUAGAUUUCUAACUUUGAAUCAUUAUCUGGUCAAAGAACAGUUUCAGGCGGGCAGUUUGACUGGGGCGGUCGCCUCCUAAAUGUAACGGAGGCGUACAAAGGUUUCCUCUGAACGGGUAGAAAUCGUAUCUAGAGUGUAAAGGCAUAAGGAAGCUUGACUGUGAGACCUACAAGUCGAGCAGGGACGAAAGUCGGUCUUAGUGAUCUGACGGUACUGAGUGGAAAGGCCGUCACUCAACGGAUAAAAGUUACUCUAAGGAUAACAGGCUGAUCUCCCCCAAGAGUUCACAUCGACGGGGAGGUUUGGCACCUCGAUGUCGGCUCAUCGCAUCCUGGGGCGGUAGUACGUCCCAAGGGUUGGGCUGUUCGCCCAUGAAAGCGGUACGCGAGCUGGGUUCAGAACGUCGUGAGACAGUUCGGUCCAUAUCCGGUGUAGGCGUUAGAAUAUUGAGAGGAGCCUUCUUUAGUACGAGAGGACCGAGAAGGACAUACCUCUGGUGUACCAGUUAUCGUGCCAACGGUAAACGCUGGGUAGCUAUGUAUGGAGUGGAUAACCGCUGAAAGCAUCUAAGUGGGAAGCCCACCUCAAGAUAAGUAUUCUCAUC
This 1244-nucleotide ribosomal RNA is filed under the name metagenome. RNAcentral's name for it is "bacterial LSU rRNA". It matches the Rfam family "Bacterial large subunit ribosomal RNA", at positions 1564 to 2818 of the family's 2925-position model. The record is from RNAcentral.